CAGCCGCCGCGGUAAUACCGGCGGCCCGAGUGGCGGCCACUAUUAUUGGGCUUAAACCGUCCGUAGCCGGGUUGGUUCGUCUCCCGGGAAAUCUGGCCGCUUAUCGGUCAGAAUUUCGGGGGAUACUGCCAGCCUAGGGACCGGGAGAGGCCGAGGGUAUUCCCGCAGUAGGGGUGAAAUCCUAUAAUCUCGGGAGGACCACCUGUGGCGUAGGCGCUCGGCUGGAACGGGUCCGACGGUGAGGGACGAAGGCCAGGGGAGCAAACCGGAUUAGAUACCCGGGUAGUCCUGGCUGUAAACGAUGCGGACUUUGUGUCGGACAAGCUAUGAGCUUGUCGGGUGCCGGAUGGAAACCGUUAAGUCCGCCGCCUGGGGAGUACGGCCGCAAGGCUGAAACUUAAAGGAAUUGGCGGG
This 414-nucleotide ribosomal RNA is filed under the name uncultured microorganism. Its description in RNAcentral is "bacterial SSU rRNA". It matches the Rfam family "Archaeal small subunit ribosomal RNA", at positions 459 to 872 of the family's 1478-position model. The record is from RNAcentral.